UAGGGAAUAUUGGACAAUGGGUGAGAGCCUGAUCCAGCCAUGCCGCGUGCAGGAAGAAGGCGUUAUGCGUUGUAAACUGCUUUUGCCAGGGGAUAAAAAGACCGUGCGCGGUUAAUUGAAGGUACCUGGUGAAUAAGCACCGGCUAACUCUGUGCCAGCAGCCGCGGUAAUACAGAGGGUGCAAGCGUUAAUCGGAAUUACUGGGCGUAAAGCGCGCGUAGGUGGUUUGUUAAGUUGGAUGUGAAAUCCCCGGGCUCAACCUGGGAACUGCACUCAAAACUGACUGACUAGAGUAUGGUAGAGGGUGGUGGAAUUUCCUGUGUAGCGGUGAAAUGCGUAGAUAUAGGAAGGAACACCAGUGGCGAAGGCGACCACCUGGACUGAUACUGACACUGAGGUGCGAAAGCGUGGGGAGCAAACAGGAUUAGAUACCCCCGUAGUCCCUGAGCGGGCUGGCAAGGCGCAU
Molecule: ribosomal RNA, 466 nt
Filed under: uncultured bacterium
Lineage: Bacteria
Description: bacterial SSU rRNA
Rfam family: Bacterial small subunit ribosomal RNA
Source: RNAcentral